Molecule: ribosomal RNA, 396 nt
Filed under: uncultured bacterium
Lineage: Bacteria
Description: partial 16S ribosomal RNA
Rfam family: Bacterial small subunit ribosomal RNA
Source: RNAcentral
AUACGGAGGGUCCGAGCGUUAAUCGGAAUUACUGGGCGUAAAGCGCGCGUAGGUGGUUCAGUCAGUCAGAUGUGAAAGCCCCGGGCUCAACCUGGGAACUGCACCUGAUACUGCUGAGCUAGAGUACGGUAGAGGGCAGUGGAAUUUCCGGUGUAGCGGUGAAAUGCGUAGAGAUCGGAAGGAACACCAGUGGCGAAGGCGACUGCCUGGACUGAGACUGGCCCUAAGGUGCGAAAGCGUGGGUAGCAAACAAGAUUAGAUGCCCUGGUAGUCCACGCCGUAAACGAUGUCAACUAGCCGUUGGGGGACUUGAUCCUUUAGUGGCGAAGCUAACGCGAUAAGUUGACCGCCUGGGGAGUACGGCCGCAAGGUUAAAACUCAAAUGAAUUGACGGGG